Leopardus geoffroyi (Geoffroy's cat) is the source of this 680-nucleotide long non-coding RNA. RefSeq lists it as uncharacterized. The transcript has 4 exons. Lineage: Eukaryota; Metazoa; Chordata; Mammalia; Carnivora; Felidae. The record is from RefSeq and is a predicted model, not a curated record.
CCACCCUCCGGCUCAAAGACUUUGCAAGGAAACUACCUACGAACUGUUUCCCUUUGGGAGUCCCGAAUUCACCGAUGGACGGAGUUAUUAGAAAAGUUUCCUUUGGUCAUACCAAGGAAUGACCCGGUAGAUAAACUGCACUGUCUAAUGGACCAAGAGUAUCGCCAUGGUUGAACUGGAUGAUCUGUUUAACUGAAGCCUUUGGAGCAGAGAGAUGGAAGAGGAGCCAAGUGGCUAGAAGCAAAAGAGAGACUCUCAAAGUGUUGAGGAAGGAGAAGAAACCUUUGUGCAGAUACCAACAGGGAGAAGAACUUGAACGAGUGUCUGGAAAGCACUCUAUGAAGCAGCAGGGGAAGAAUUCUCUCAAGUUGCUAAAGUCGGGAUGCCAUGGUGAGCCAGCCUUUACCAAACACUCCACACGGAAUAUGUACAACUUACAAGUUCAAAGGGAGGUGAAGUAAACGUACUUUUAGGAAACGGAAAUAUGUUUGUCAGCGAAUUUAUAUUUCCACAAAUCUCUUAUGCGGACACUCAGAGUAAGAAAUGUCGAUAGGAAGGAGACCACUCAGACCUGAUCACAUGACAAAAGCAGCCCCAUAUUUAGAAUCUUAGGCUUUACAAAAAUUUUUUUCAAUGUGCAUUUAAUUUUUGAGAGAGAGAGACACACACACAGAAAGCGA